GACGAACGCUGGCGGCGUGCUUAACACAUGCAAGUCGAACGGAAAGGCCUGCUUUCCCUUGUGGAUUGCGGGUACUCGAGUGGCGAACGGGUGAGUAACACGUGAGUGAUCUGCCCCCAACUUGGGUAUAAGCCUGGGAAACUGGGUCUAAUUCCCGAUAGGACUGCAGGGUGGUGCCUGUUGUGGAAAACGAUUUUCUAGUGGUUGGGGAUGAGCUCGCGGCCUAUCAGCUUGUUGGUGGGGUAAUGGCCUACCAAGGCGGCGACGGGUAGCCGGCCUGAGAGGGUGGACGGCCACAUUGGGACUGAGAUACGGCCAAGACUCCUACGGGAGGCAGCAGUGGGGAAUAUUGCACAAUGGGCGGAAGCCUGAUGCAGCGACGCCGCGUGGGGGAUGACGGCCUUCGGGUUGUAAACUCCUUUCGACCGCGAGGAAGCCACCUGGUUGGAAGGGUGGUGACGGUAGUGGUAGAAGAAGCACCGGCUAACUACGUG
Molecule: ribosomal RNA, 494 nt
Filed under: uncultured bacterium
Lineage: Bacteria
Description: partial 16S ribosomal RNA
Rfam family: Bacterial small subunit ribosomal RNA
Source: RNAcentral